AAAUUGAAGAGUUUGAUCAUGGCUCAGAUUGAACGCUGGCGGCAGGCCUAACACAUGCAAGUCGAGCGGAAACGAGUUAUCUGAACCUUCGGGGAACGAUAACGGCGUCGAGCGGCGGACGGGUGAGUAAUGCCUAGGAAAUUGCCCUGAUGUGGGGGAUAACCAUUGGAAACGAUGGCUAAUACCGCAUGAUGCCUACGGGCCAAAGAGGGGGACCUUCGGGCCUCUCGCGUCAGGAUAUGCCUAGGUGGGAUUAGCUAGUUGGUGAGGUAAGGGCUCACCAAGGCAACGAUCCCUAGCUGGUCUGAGAGGAUGAUCAGCCACACUGGAACUGAGACACGGUCCAGACUCCUACGGGAGGCAGCAGUGGGGAAUAUUGCACAAUGGGCGCAAGCCUGAUGCAGCCAUGCCGCGUGUGUGAAGAAGGCCUUCGGGUUGUAAAGCACUUUCAGUCGUGAGGAAGGUGGUGUAGUUAAUAGCUGCAUUAUUUGACGUUAGCGACAGAAGAAGCACCGGCUAACUCCGUGCCAGCAGCCGCGGUAAUACGGAGGGUGCGAGCGUUAAUCGGAAUUACUGGGCGUAAAGCGCAUGCAGGUGGUUUGUUAAGUCAGAUGUGAAAGCCCGGGGCUCAACCUCGGAAUAGCAUUUGAAACUGGCAGACUAGAGUACUGUAGAGGGGGGUAGAAUUUCAGGUGUAGCGGUGAAAUGCGUAGAGAUCUGAAGGAAUACCGGUGGCGAAGGCGGCCCCCUGGACAGAUACUGACACUCAGAUGCGAAAGCGUGGGGAGCAAACAGGAUUAGAUACCCUGGUAGUCCACGCCGUAAACGAUGUCUACUUGGAGGUUGUGGCCUUGAGCCGUGGCUUUCGGAGCUAACGCGUUAAGUAGACCGCCUGGGGAGUACGGUCGCAAGAUUAAAACUCAAAUGAAUUGACGGGGGCCCGCACAAGCGGUGGAGCAUGUGGUUUAAUUCGAUGCAACGCGAAGAACCUUACCUACUCUUGACAUCCAGAGAACUUUCCAGAGAUGGAUUGGUGCCUUCGGGAACUCUGAGACAGGUGCUGCAUGGCUGUCGUCAGCUCGUGUUGUGAAAUGUUGGGUUAAGUCCCGCAACGAGCGCAACCCUUAUCCUUGUUUGCCAGCGAGUAAUGUCGGGAACUCCAGGGAGACUGCCGGUGAUAAACCGGAGGAAGGUGGGGACGACGUCAAGUCAUCAUGGCCCUUACGAGUAGGGCUACACACGUGCUACAAUGGCGCAUACAGAGGGCGGCCAACUUGCGAAAGUGAGCGAAUCCCAAAAAGUGCGUCGUAGUCCGGAUUGGAGUCUGCAACUCGACUCCAUGAAGUCGGAAUCGCUAGUAAUCGUGGAUCAGAAUGCCACGGUGAAUACGUUCCCGGGCCUUGUACACACCGCCCGUCACACCAUGGGAGUGGGCUGCAAAAGAAGUAGGUAGUUUAACCUUCGGGAGGACGCUUACCACUUUGUGGUUCAUGACUGGGGUGAAGUCGUAACAAGGUAGCGCUAGGGGAACCUGGCGCUGGAUCACCUCCUUAUACGAUGAU
Molecule: ribosomal RNA, 1562 nt
Filed under: Vibrio alginolyticus
Lineage: Bacteria; Pseudomonadati; Pseudomonadota; Gammaproteobacteria; Vibrionales; Vibrionaceae
Description: bacterial SSU rRNA
Rfam family: Bacterial small subunit ribosomal RNA
Source: RNAcentral